GUACUUUGAAUUUAUAAGGGAUAACCACAUCAGGAACUAGGCAGAGCCCAGCAGCAUCAACUGACCCAUAAAAGCUAAAUCCUUCUACAGCCCGUAGCCUCUGCUCUAACAUGCUAAUCUUGAAACUUUCCUCAGCCUCUACUCUCAUCUUUUCCUUCUCUUUCUCUUUUAAAUCAUCUAGAUCAGGAAUUGGUUCUGCUGCCUUUUCA
RNAcentral lists this long non-coding RNA (209 nucleotides) under Durio zibethinus. RNAcentral's name for it is "long non-coding RNA (DZIB_LNC002295)". The record is from RNAcentral. Lineage: Eukaryota; Viridiplantae; Streptophyta; Magnoliopsida; Malvales; Malvaceae.